RNAcentral lists this transfer RNA (72 nucleotides) under Stieleria magnilauensis. RNAcentral's name for it is "Planctomycetes bacterium TBK1r tRNA-Ala". It matches the Rfam family "tRNA". From Rfam's summary of the family: Transfer RNA (tRNA) molecules are approximately 80 nucleotides in length. Their secondary structure includes four short double-helical elements and three loops (D, anti-codon, and T loops). Lineage: Bacteria; Pseudomonadati; Planctomycetota; Planctomycetia; Pirellulales; Pirellulaceae. The record is from RNAcentral.
GGGGCGCUCGUCCAACGGGAAGACGUCUGUGUUGCAAGCAGAAGAUCAGGGUUCGAUUCCCUGGUGCUCCAC